Molecule: ribosomal RNA, 502 nt
Filed under: Platypleura hirtipennis
Lineage: Eukaryota; Metazoa; Arthropoda; Insecta; Hemiptera; Cicadidae
Description: partial 16S ribosomal RNA
Rfam family: Archaeal large subunit ribosomal RNA (bases 376-502)
Source: RNAcentral
AAAAUUAAAGGUCUAAUUCUGCCCAAUGAUAAAUUGAAAUGGCCGCGGUAACUUGACCGUGCAAAGGUAGCAUAAUUAUUAGUCUUUUAAUUGAAGGCUUGAAUGAAAGAUUGGAUGAGAAAUAGACUUUAUUAACAAAAAUUAUUUAAUUUAUUAUUUAAGUAAAAACUCUUAAAUAUACAAGUGGGACGAGAAGACCCUAUAGAGUUUUAUUUUUAUUUCUAUUAUGAAAUUUAAGAAUUAAUAUUUUUAUUAUAAAAAUAAAUUUUUUAUUGGGGUGAUAUUAAAAAUUAUUAAACUUUUAAUUAACGUUUCAUUAAUAUAUGUAUAAUUGAUCCAAAUAAAUUUUUGAUUAUAAGACUUAAUUACCUUAGGGAUAACAGCGUUAUUAAUUUGAAGAGUUCAAAUCGAUAAAUUAGUUUGCGACCUCGAUGUUGGAUUAAGAAUAUGUUUUAAAGUAGCAUUUAAAAUUAUAGGUCUGUUCGACCUUUAAAUUCUUACG